RNAcentral lists this long non-coding RNA (1295 nucleotides) under Salmo salar (Atlantic salmon). RNAcentral describes it as "lncRNA (ENSSSAG00000101888.1, ENSSSAG00000116472.1)". The record is from RNAcentral. Lineage: Eukaryota; Metazoa; Chordata; Actinopteri; Salmoniformes; Salmonidae.
GGCCGAGACGCUAACAGACAGACAAGGUGGAGAUGAGUGGCCGAGACGCGCACGGACAGGACAGACAAGGCUGAGAUGAGUGGCCGAGACGCGCAUGGACAAGGCGGAGAUGAGUGGCCGAGACGCGCACGGACAGACAAGGCGGAGAUGAGUGGCCGAGAUGCUAACAGACAGACAAGGCGGAGAUGAGUGGCCGAGAUGCUAACAGACAGACAAGGCGGAGAUGAGUGGCCGAGACGCUAACAGACAGACAAGGCGGAGAUGAGUGGCCGAGACACGCACAGACAGACAAGGUGGAGAUGAGUGGCCGAGACGCUAACAGACAGACAAGGUGGAGAUGAGUGGCCGAGACGCGCACGGACAGGACAGACAAGGCUGAGAUGAGUGGCCGAGACGCGCAUGGACAAGGUGGAGAUGAGUGGCCGAGACGCGCACGGACAGACAAGGCGGAGAUGAGUGGCCGAGACGCUAACAGACAGACAAGGCGGAGAUGAGUGUCCGAGACGCGCACGGACAGACAAGGUGGAGAUGAGUGGCCGAGACGCUAACAGACAGACAAGGCGGAGAUGAGUGUCCGAGACGCGCACGGACAGACAAGGUGGAGAUGAGUGGCCGAGACGCUAACAGACAGACAAGGCGGAGAUGAGUCGCCGAGACGCGCACGGACAGACAAGGUGGAGAUGAGUGGCCGAGACGCUAACAGACAGACAAGGCGGAGAUGAGUGGCCGAGAUGCUAACAGACAGACAAGGUGGAGAUGAGUGGCCGAGACGCUAACAGACAGACAAGGUGGAGAUGAGUGGCCGAGACGCGCACGGACAGGACAGACAAGGCGGAGAUGAGUGGCCGAGACGCGCACGGACAAGGUGGAGAUGAGUGGCCGAGACGCGCACGGACAGACAAGGCGGAGAUGAGUGGCCGAGACGCUAACAGACAGACAAGGCGGAGAUGAGUGGCCGAGACGCGCACAGACAGACAAGGUGGAGAUGAGUGGCCAAGACGCGCACGGACAGAAAAGGCGGAGAUGAGUGGCCAAGACGCGCACGGACAGAAAAGGCGGAGAUGAGUGGCCGAGACGCUAACAGACAGACAAGGUGGAGAUGAGUGGCCAAGACGCGCACAGACAGACAAGGUGGAGAUGAGUGGCCAAGACGCGCACGGACAGACAAGGUGGAGAUGAGUGGCCGAGACGCGCACGGACAGACAAGGCGGAGAUGAGUGGCCGAGACGCUCACGGACAGACAAGGUGGAGAUGAGUGGCCGAGACGCUAACAGACAGACAAGGCGGAGAUGAGU